AAAUGAAUAUAGUUAUAUAAUUGAGACAUAGAAAAUUUUUAUUAGCCCCCAAAAUUCCCUCAGCAUAGGGAGAAAUUUAAAAGAUUGGUAGGGUGUUAAGGAUUUUUUCCUUUAUUCUCAUUUCUUGAUAAGGUUUAUGUAAUACAAGAGACUGCUGCUGCUGCUGCUGCUGCUGCUGCUAAGUCACUUCAGUCAUGUCCGACUCUGUGCGACCCCAUAGACGGCAGCCCACCAGGCUCCCCCAUCCCUGGGAUUCUCCAGGCAAGAACACUGGAUCAUUCCAGUGUGGAAGCUGGGUUGCUGAUAAGAACAAAUAGUGGCAUGAUUUCUCCCCUACAGCAGCUUCCACUGCCUUGCCUCUGAAAAGAAUAGGCCUCUGGGAGAGUAUUUCCGGUGAGUAACAUUCGUCUGGUAGAGAUUUACAGGAACAUCUUUACCUGAUCAUGACCUGCCCUCUAGAACAAAGGAUUUGACAUCAAGAAGUCUGCAGCAACUAACCACACCCCUCCCUUAACCUUUCCUAUAAAAGGGCUUUGCUGAGAACUUUUGGGGAGCUUGGGGUUUUUAAGGCAUGGGCCACCCAUCUCCUUGCUUGGCUGUGCAAUAAACCUUUCUCUGUUCCAG
RNAcentral lists this long non-coding RNA (624 nucleotides) under Bos taurus (domestic cattle). Its description in RNAcentral is "long non-coding RNA NONBTAT013580". Lineage: Eukaryota; Metazoa; Chordata; Mammalia; Artiodactyla; Bovidae. The record is from RNAcentral.